This 484-nucleotide ribosomal RNA is filed under the name uncultured bacterium. RNAcentral describes it as "partial 16S ribosomal RNA". It matches the Rfam family "Bacterial small subunit ribosomal RNA", at positions 30 to 507 of the family's 1533-position model. The record is from RNAcentral.
AUUGAACGCUGGCGGCAGGCCUAACACAUGCAAGUCGAGCGGAUGAAGGGAGCUUGCUCCUGGAUUCAGCGGCGGACGGGUGAGUAAUGCCUAGGAAUCUGCCUGGUAGUGGGGGAUAACGUCCGGAAACGGGCGCUAAUACCGCAUACGUCCUGAGGGAGAAAGUGGGGGAUCUUCGGACCUCACGCUAUCAGAUGAGCCUAGGUCGGAUUAGCUAGUUGGUGGGGUAAAGGCCUACCAAGGCGACGAUCCGUAACUGGUCUGAGAGGAUGAUCAGUCACACUGGAACGUAGACACGGUCCAGACUCCUACGGGAGGCAGCAGUGGGGAAUAUUGGACAAUGGGCGAAAGCCUGAUCCAGCCAUGCCGCGUGUGUGAAGAAGGUCUUCGGAUUGUAAAGCACUUUAAGUUGGGAGGAAGGGCAGUAAGUUAAUACCUUGCUGUUUUGACGUUACCAACAGAAUAAGCACCGGCUAACUUCGUG